Molecule: non-coding RNA, 74 nt
Organism: Ixodes scapularis (black-legged tick)
Lineage: Eukaryota; Metazoa; Arthropoda; Arachnida; Ixodida; Ixodidae
Source: Rfam
GCCGGGAUGGUCGAAUCGGUCAAGGCGUCGAACCGGAUAGACGAAGGUUGCGGGUUCGAUCCCCGUUCUUGGCC